AUACGAACCGGACAAACGUUAUUCGGAAUCAUUGGGCUUAAAGGGUGCGUAGGCGGCGUAGUAAGUGAGGUGUGAAAGCCCUCGGCUCAACCGAGGAAUUGCGCUUCAUACUGCUAUGCUCGAGGGAGACAGGGGUAAGCGGAACUGAUGGUGGAGCGGUGAAAUGCGUUGAUAUCAUCAGGAACACCAGUGGCGAAAGCGGCUUACUGGGUCUCUUCUGACGCUGAGGCACGAAAGCUAGGGUAGCGAACGGGAUUAGAAACCCUAGUAGUCC
This 274-nucleotide ribosomal RNA is filed under the name uncultured bacterium. RNAcentral's name for it is "partial 16S ribosomal RNA". It matches the Rfam family "Bacterial small subunit ribosomal RNA", at positions 523 to 796 of the family's 1533-position model. The record is from RNAcentral.